RNAcentral lists this long non-coding RNA (290 nucleotides) under Aquilegia coerulea. RNAcentral describes it as "long non-coding RNA (ACOE_LNC000932)". Lineage: Eukaryota; Viridiplantae; Streptophyta; Magnoliopsida; Ranunculales; Ranunculaceae. The record is from RNAcentral.
GGAGACACUCUGGUGUUACCCUUGACAUGCUUGUGAGGAGGAAACAAGCUUGCAGGCAGCAGUGCACUUCAUCAGCAGCACCCAGGUCUGCAACAGCAGCAGCAGGUCCCUCAUCAGCAGUCCGUCGCACCACCAAUCGGAAGAAUUCAGCACCACCUGCACCUCCAGCCUCCUCAGCUCCAGCCUCCUCAGAUUCAGACUCCUCAGAUUCAGACUCUUCAGAUUCGGACUCCUCCUCUACCGGUGGUGGUCUCUCAGCUCAGGCAUCGGCCAAUACCGAUGAGAACGUC